GCCAGGGUCAGCCAUCACAACCACAAGAUGUGCAAGUCAUGGCUUGUGAUGAACUUCUCAUCAGCAAGCAAUCUCAGUGUCAUCACUUGGAUAAACAGCAUCCCGUUUGGAUGAAGAAACUACAGAUGUCGAUCGAGUUUUUCCCCUUUCUUUAAAUUUCCUCGUGUAUGCCCAUGUGAGUGUGGGUGUAUUCACGAGGACCCACUUUUUGCUAUAUCCCACCUGGUGGAACUCUUCUCAGAGGAUGAAGCACAUGUUGAUGCCUGGCUGUAUUUCCCAGGCUUCAAGAUAACCGGUUGUUUUUCCAUUGGCAAUUCAUCCAUCACGUGCAGCCCUGAUCUGGUAAUACUCUCCCACUAAACGAUGUUGGGAGUUUCCGUCUCGUCCUUGAAUUGUGCCUUUCUCUUCGUGCCGAGGGCGAAGAUUUUUCUACCGAUGGGCGAGAACGGGCCAGAAUCAUCACUGAAAUAAAACUAGAGAAAUCGCUUUCACGAAUCUCUUUAGGGCUCACGAUGACCAUCAACACUAGACAAAGAAUGUAGACUGUAGAGGCGAUCGACAAGAGCAUCAUUGUUUACGCCGUGGGUAACUUGACUAUAGCUGUUGACACCAUUUCGUGUUUGAAUCAGAAAAAGUUAACAUUUGAAAAAAAAUAAUAAUGACAAGACUUUAUGAUUCCUUAUAGAGAUUUAUAUUUAUUCUAUGGGCUCGAAGUGUUUCCCUUUAUAUUACCCACAUGCACAACAAAUAAUCUCUCCUCUUCAAAAUGUGACUAUUGUUAAACUUUCUCCGAUGAGGGCGGUUCGACAAAGAUUCGAUAACGGACUUUCUUCGUUCGCAAAUAGCUGAAAGUGUUGUCAAACUCGAAGACAUCUGCUCGGUGACAAAUAGAACGCAUGAUUAGACUAUAGGGCCGUGAUAAUAAAGCGUGUGAUGGAUCACUCACAUUUGCCAGGCUCGUCACAGGCCAUCUGACCUUCUUCCAUCGCCAAAUGGCUGUCAACUCGACACGGUAAAACCAAAUCUUCUUCACUCCCUUUGGCAUUCUUGGUGUAAACUCGGAAUCGGAUGUCACCUCCUUCCGUCAUGAAUUCCCAUCUGUUUAAUUCACACAUUUAAGUUGGUUAUUAUAUUAUUAUUAUUGAUUACAUUGACGACUAACUUUAGAAUAGAAGAAGCGACAUCAACUUUGUAUUUCAUUUUCUUUCGACCACCAGCGCCGGCGAUGAUCGUCAUGGUUUCCAUGUAGUCCUUAGCAACGGGUCCGUUAUUGCUCAGGUAAUACGAAGCAGGUACUUCACCUCCCAUAUUUAACUGUCCUCCACAUCAACAAUUGUUAGCGUUACUUUAAUAAUUCUUAAUGAAGAUUGUAAUAUUACCUUGCUGGGGCAUUUGGGGUUGCCAUCGGGAUCGGUUAAGGUCCCGCCGUAAUACGAUGGCACGUAUUCAGCGUCAAUUUCCUCCAGUAAAGCGGAUGCCCACUCAUUUUUGUCGUUACCGAAUAUCUUGAUUUUCGGGAUGUCGGCUGGUGAUAGAAUCGGUUUGACUAAGGCGAAAAGCAGAUGGAAUACUUUGGGUGCUGUAAAAUUAAGAAGUAAUUAAGUGCGAUGAAGAUGGACACAUCAUUAUUAAUGCUGUACCAUUGACGACAAAUAUUCGACGGAAAGAAUUCGGGUAAUUGAUUAGGUAUGUUCUGAUCAUUUCCAAAAGAGCCUCUACCACUUUAUGUUGUAAAAAUCGUUGUGCAAAUCGUUGUGAAUUGUGUAAUGCUUGCAAUGACACUUGAAAUGUAUCUGUAUACCUUG
Daphnia pulicaria is the source of this 1805-nucleotide long non-coding RNA. RefSeq lists it as uncharacterized. The transcript has 4 exons. The record is from RefSeq and is a predicted model, not a curated record. NCBI's taxonomy places the organism in Eukaryota, Metazoa, Arthropoda, Branchiopoda, Diplostraca, Daphniidae.